CGGCGAAAGCCGGAUUAAUACCGCAUACGCCCGAGAGGGGAAAGCCGGGGACCGCAAGGCCUGGCGCGAUUGGGUUGGCCGAUGUCCGAUUAGCUAGUUGGCGGGGUAAGAGCCCACCAAGGCGAUGAUCGGUAGCUGGUCUGAGAGGAUGAUCAGCCACACUGGGACUGAGACACGGCCCAGACUCCUACGGGAGGCAGCAGUGGGGAAUUUUGGACAAUGGGGGCAACCCUGAUCCAGCCAUUCCGCGUGAGUGAAGAAGGCCUUCGGGUUGUAAAGCUCUUUUGUCCGGAACGAAACGGUUGGCGUGAAUAUCGCCGACUACUGACGGUACCGGAAGAAUAAGCACC
Molecule: ribosomal RNA, 350 nt
Filed under: uncultured Burkholderia sp.
Lineage: Bacteria; Pseudomonadati; Pseudomonadota; Betaproteobacteria; Burkholderiales; Burkholderiaceae
Description: bacterial SSU rRNA
Rfam family: Bacterial small subunit ribosomal RNA
Source: RNAcentral